AGAAUCAACGCUGGCGGCGUGCCUAACACAUGCAAGUCGAACGAGAAAGUGGAGCAAUCCAUGAGUAAAGUGGCGCACGGGUGAGUAACACGUGACUAACCUACCCUUGAGUGGGGGGAUAACCUAGAGAAAUCUGGGCUAAUACCGCAUAAUACCUUCGGGUCAAAGGAGCAAUUCGCUUAAGGAGGGGGUCGCGGCCGAUUAGUUAGUUGGCGGGGUAAUGGCCCACCAAGACUGUGAUCGGUAUCCGGCCUGAGAGGGCGCACGGACACACUGGAACUGAAACACGGUCCAGACUCCUACGGGAGGCAGCAGUGGGAAUUUUGCGCAAUGGGGGAAACCCUGACGCAGCAACGCCGCGUGGAGGAUGAAGCCCUUGGGGCGUAAACUCCUUUCGAUCGGGAAGAUAAUGACGGUACCGAGAGAAGAAGCCCCGGCUAACUUCGUGCCAGCAGCCGC
This 459-nucleotide ribosomal RNA is filed under the name uncultured bacterium. RNAcentral's name for it is "SSU rRNA". It matches the Rfam family "Bacterial small subunit ribosomal RNA", at positions 26 to 518 of the family's 1533-position model. The record is from RNAcentral.